RNAcentral lists this ribosomal RNA (599 nucleotides) under uncultured Dothideomycetes. RNAcentral's name for it is "eukaryotic LSU rRNA". It matches the Rfam family "Eukaryotic large subunit ribosomal RNA", at positions 54 to 668 of the family's 3401-position model. Lineage: Eukaryota; Fungi; Ascomycota; Dothideomycetes. The record is from RNAcentral.
AGGAAAAGAAACCAACAGGGAUUGCCUCAGUAACGGCGAGUGAAGCGGCAACAGCUCAAAUUUGAAAUCUGGCUCUUUUAGGGUCCGAGUUGUAAUCUGUAGAGGAUGCUUCGGCGUCGGCUCCGGUCUAAGUUCCUUGGAACAGGACGUCAUAGAGGGUGAGAAUCCCGUAUGUGAUCGGUUGCCCUUGCCAUGUGAAGCUCCUUCGACGAGUCGAGUUGUUUGGGAAUGCAGCUCUAAAUGGGAGGUAAAUUUCUUCUAAAGCUAAAUACUGGCCAGAGACCGAUAGCGCACAAGUAGAGUGAUCGAAAGAUGAAAAGCACUUUGGAAAGAGAGUCAAAAAGUACGUGAAAUUGUUGAAAGGGAAGCGCUUGCAACCAGACCUGCCUGCAGUUGCUCAUCCGGGCUUUUGCCCGGUGCACUCUUCUGCUGUCAGGCCAGCAUCAGUUCGGGCGGUCGGAUAAAGGCUUCGGGAAUGUAGCUCCUCUCGAGGAGUGUUAUAGCCCGUUGCGAAAUGCGGCCAGCCUGAACUGAGGUCCGCGCUUCGGCUAGGAUGCUGGCGUAAUGGUUGUAAGCGGCCCGUCUUGAAACACGGACCA